GAUGAACGCUAGCGGCAGGCUUAAUACAUGCAAGUCGAGCGGUAAGGCCCUUUCGGGGGUACACGAGCGGCGAACGGGUGAGUAACACGUGGGUGACCUGCCCUCAGCUCUGGGAUAAGCCUGGGAAACCGGGUCUAAUACCGGAUAUGACUCCAUGACGCAUGUUGUGGGGUGGAAAGCCUUGUGCGGCUGAGGAUGGGCCCGCGGCCUAUCAGCUUGUUGGUGGGGNGAUGGCCUACCAAGGCGACGACGGGUAGCCGGCCUGAGAGGGCGACCGGCCACACUGGGACUGAGACACGGCCCAGACUCCUACGGGAGGCAGCAGUGGGGAAUCUUGCGCAAUGGGCGAAAGCCUGACGCAGCGACGCCGCGUGAGGGAUGACGGCCU
RNAcentral lists this ribosomal RNA (388 nucleotides) under uncultured bacterium. Its description in RNAcentral is "bacterial SSU rRNA". It matches the Rfam family "Bacterial small subunit ribosomal RNA", at positions 28 to 417 of the family's 1533-position model. The record is from RNAcentral.